AUUGAACGCUGGCGGCAGGCCUAACACAUGCAAGUCGAGCGGAUGAAGGGAGCUUGCUCCUGGAUUCAGCGGCGGACGGGUGAGUAAUGCCUAGGAAUCUGCCUGGUAGUGGGGGAUAACGUCCGGAAACGGGCGCUAAUACCGCAUACGUCCUGAGGGAGAAAGUGGGGGAUCUUCGGGCCUCACGCUAUCAGAUGAGCCUAGGUCGGGUUAGCUAGUUGGUGGGGUAAAGGCCUACCAAGGCGACGAUCCGUAACUGGUCUGAGAGGAUGAUCAGUCACACUGGAACGGAGACACGGUCCAGACUCCUACGGGAGGCAGCAGGGGGGAAUAUUGGACAAUGGGCGAAAGCCUGAUCCAGCCAUGCCGCGUGUGUGAAGAAGGUCUUCGGAUUGUAAAGCACGUUAAGUUGGGAGGAAGGGCAGUAAGUUAAUACCUUGCUGUUUUGACGUUACCAACAGAAUAAGCACCGGCUAACUUCGUG
This 484-nucleotide ribosomal RNA is filed under the name uncultured bacterium. RNAcentral describes it as "partial 16S ribosomal RNA". It matches the Rfam family "Bacterial small subunit ribosomal RNA", at positions 30 to 507 of the family's 1533-position model. The record is from RNAcentral.